GGACCUUAGCUCAGUGGCAGAGCAUUUGCUUUGCAUGCAGAAAGUCCCAGGUUCAGUCCCUGACAUCUCCU
Molecule: transfer RNA, 71 nt
Filed under: Podarcis lilfordi (Lilford's wall lizard)
Lineage: Eukaryota; Metazoa; Chordata; Lepidosauria; Squamata; Lacertidae
Description: tRNA.Ala
Rfam family: tRNA (bases 7-63)
About the family: Transfer RNA (tRNA) molecules are approximately 80 nucleotides in length. Their secondary structure includes four short double-helical elements and three loops (D, anti-codon, and T loops).
Source: RNAcentral